This 497-nucleotide ribosomal RNA is filed under the name uncultured bacterium. RNAcentral's name for it is "partial 16S ribosomal RNA". It matches the Rfam family "Bacterial small subunit ribosomal RNA", at positions 28 to 507 of the family's 1533-position model. The record is from RNAcentral.
GAUGAACGCUGGCGGCGUGCCUAAUACAUGCAAGUCGAGCGAACGGACGAGAAGCUUGCUUCUCUGAUGUUAGCGGCGGACGGGUGAGUAACACGUGGAUAACCUACCUAUAAGACUGGGAUAACUUCGGGAAACCGGAGCUAAUACCGGAUAAUAUUUUGAACCGCAUGGUUCAAAAGUGAAAGACGGUCUUGCUGUCACUUAUAGAUGGAUCCGCGCUGCAUUAGCUAGUUGGUAAGGUAACGGCUUACCAAGGCACCGAUGCAUAGCCGACCUGAGAGUGGGAUCGGCCACACUGGAACUGAGACACGGUCCAGACUCCUACGGGAGGCAGCAGUAGGGAAUCUUCCGCAAAGGGCGAAAGCCUGACGGAGCAACGCCGCGUGAGUGAUGAAGGUCUUCGGAUCGUAAAACUCUGUUAUUAGGGAAGAACAUAUGUGUAAGUAACUGUGCACAUCGUGACGGUACCUAAUCAGAAAGCCACGGCUAACUACGUG